This is a long non-coding RNA of Gasterosteus aculeatus aculeatus (three-spined stickleback), 998 nucleotides long. The record is from Ensembl. NCBI's taxonomy places the organism in Eukaryota, Metazoa, Chordata, Actinopteri, Perciformes, Gasterosteidae.
CUCCCGUUCUCUAGCAGUCCGCUGAGAGGAGAGUAACAGGUUUUGCCGGCCGAGUGGAGUCCCUUCGGACGUCGUUGGGGAGGGUUUAGCUCCUCAGCCUUUCCAGGUGGCACACAAACUGCUGUUUUGCCCAGUUUUCGGAGAAGACACGGUGUCAUCAUGGACGAGUAGAUGCAAGAACUUCGGGAGAUGGUGCAAAGGUUGAAGGCAGAUAAUGAGCGGCUGUUACAGGAAAGACAGUCCCUAAACCCGGUCCCGGGCUCCUCGACGGCACCUCCCUCUGCCAACGAUGGUAGUCUUGACUCUGCGCAACCACUCGGUACUUUCGGUAUGGAAACCUCUACUAGGUUGCCACCAGUUGUUGAGCGUGUGGUGUACAUUCCCAAGGAUAAGUGUUCCACCUUUACAGGAGAAGGAGACGUAUCGGUGAGGGAAUGGGUGGAUGAGGUGCAGUCAAAAUUUCGCACACGUAGGAUGUCUAUUGUAGAACAGGCCCAUUUCAUUUAUGACCAUUUAGGAGGAGCAGCAAGAGACGAAAUUAAGUAUCGUUCUAGACAGGUUCGGGAAGAUCCCAAACUAAUUUUUUCCAUCCUUCAGACUCAGUAUGGCUGUGCAGACUCACCUAUUGCUCUAUUGCAGAAUUUCCACUCUCGGAAACAGCAAGAAGGGGAGACAUUGCGUGAGUAUGCAAAUGCGCUAUUCUCCCUAAUGGAUAUUGUUAUACAACAUUCUCCUGACGGAGUUGCACAGGCAGCUAGCCUCCUACGCGAUCAAUAUGUUGAGUUCGUGUCGGAUGGCAACCUUAGCCGUGCGCUGAAAGAACUUGUUCGUAUUAACCCCGCCUAUGAUCUCCAUGAUAUCCGUGAUGCAGCCGUCCGAUGGGAGCGAGAAGGCAGACCACGGGAAGGGAGGCCGAGAAGCUAUUCUGUCCCGUCGGUUUAUAGCAUCCAUCAGGGCGCUUCCGUUUAUGCAGUUUUCUAAAACAUUGUCAGCCUUAA